AAUUACUUGUCUUAUUUUAGUUUUGAAAAAAUUGUGAGUAGUUAAAGUAUUAUGUGUGACUUGUUUUAGUAUUUUUUAGAAUGAUAUAUUUGUAAGUGUUUGUUGAGUACUGAUAAGGAAUAAUUGAAAUAUUUUGUGACUUUUUGGUAAGUAGAAAUUUUUUGUACCUUUUGUAUCAGGGUUUUACUAUUUUAUUUUGUAAUUGUUAGGUGUCCCGAAAAAUCAUGAUUUAUAUUUAUAUAAAAUUUUAUCGUGGAAAAGUUUAUGUUGAAGAUAAGUAUGGAAGUUAAAAGUUAUACGUAUGAUUUGAUAUCUGGUUGUUUAAGAAAAAAAUUUAAUUUGGUGAUGUUUUGUAAUUUUACUAUUUUAGUAAAUAAUUUUAUUAUAUUCACAAAUGGUUGGGGGAUAAGCUCUAGUUAUUUAUUUAUAUUAGUUUUUGUUUAUCAAGUUUUUUAGGAUUAGAAUUGUCUAUUUUUGAAAAGUGUGUUAUAAUUUAGCUUGAGGUAAAUUAAAAUAUUUUUGUUGAAUUGAAUAUUGGUAUUAAACUUUUUAAAAUAGUUAUUAUUUUAAGUUAAAAUUGUAUUAAUUAGUAAAAUUUUAUUGUAUUAUUAAAUAUAGUAAUGAUAGAAAUUAUUUAAAGGAAUUCGGCAAAUAUUUUUUUCGCCUGUUUAUCAAAAACAUGGCUUUUUGAGUAAAAUAAAAAGUCAGGCCUGCCCACUGAAUUAUUAAAUGGCCGCGGUAUUUUGACCGUGCAAAGGUAGCAUAAUCAUUUGUCUUUUUAUUGAAGGCUGGCAUGAAAGGUUUAACGAAAAAUUGACUGUCUCUAAGUAAUAAUAUUUGAAUUUAACUUUUUAGUGAAAAGGCUGAAAUUUGUUUGAGGGACGAUAAGACCCUAUAGAUCUUUAUAAUAAACUUAGUAAUUUUGGUUAUAUUUUGUUAUAUUUAACUUAUUAUAUUUAUUAUUUUGUUGGGGCGACAUUUAGAUUAGAAGAACUCUUUAUUAUGUUUUAUAUUUAUAAAUAUAAUUUUUGUAGAUCCUAAUUUUUAGAUUUUAAGAUAAAGUUACCUUAGGGAUAACAGCGUAAUUUCCUUUGAGAGUUCGUAUCAACAGGGAAGAUUGCGACCUCGAUGUUGGAUUAAAAAUAUCUUUUUGGUGUAGCAGUUAAAAGAGAGAGUCUGUUCGACUUUUAAAUUUUUACAUGAUCUGAGUUCAGACCGGCGUAAGCCAGGUCGGUUUCUAUCUUCAAGUAAGAAAAUAUUUUUAUAGUACGAAAGGACCUAAAAAUAGGAAUAAUUUUAUGAUUGGGGUAAAAA
This 1314-nucleotide ribosomal RNA is filed under the name Nesomachilis australica. RNAcentral's name for it is "large subunit ribosomal RNA". The stretch from base 851 to 1251 matches the Rfam family "Bacterial large subunit ribosomal RNA", at positions 2049 to 2651 of the family's 2925-position model. The record is from RNAcentral. Lineage: Eukaryota; Metazoa; Arthropoda; Insecta; Archaeognatha; Meinertellidae.